GCCUGUAUGGCCAAGUGGUAAGGCACUGCACUUGUAUGCUCAUUCCCACAUGGGACACAGUGUUCAUGCAGCGAUCCCUCGUUCGAUCCGGGGUGCAGGCA
Non-coding RNA from Naganishia cerealis, 101 nucleotides. The record is from the annotation of a GenBank genome assembly. Lineage: Eukaryota; Fungi; Basidiomycota; Tremellomycetes; Filobasidiales; Filobasidiaceae.